This 305-nucleotide ribosomal RNA is filed under the name uncultured bacterium. RNAcentral's name for it is "bacterial SSU rRNA". It matches the Rfam family "Bacterial small subunit ribosomal RNA", at positions 337 to 640 of the family's 1533-position model. The record is from RNAcentral.
UCCUACGGGACGCAGCAGUGAGGAAUAUUGGUCAAUGGCCGAGAGGCUGAACCAGCCAAGUCGCGUGAGGGAAGACGGCCCUACGGGUUGUAAACCUCUUUUGUCGGGGAGCAAAGCGAGUCACGUGUGACUCAUUGAGAGUACCCGAAGAAAAAGCAUCGGCUAACUCCGUGCCAGCAGCCGCGGUAAUACGGAGGAUGCGAGCGUUAUCCGGAUUUAUUGGGUUUAAAGGGUGCGCAGGCGGAGGUGCAAGUCAGCGGUCAAAUUGCGGGGCUCAACCUCGUACUGCCGUUGAAACGGCAUCC